AAUGCAGCCCCAAUCGGGCGG
RNAcentral lists this small nuclear RNA (21 nucleotides) under Arabidopsis thaliana (thale cress). RNAcentral's name for it is "snRNA_09530". The record is from RNAcentral. Lineage: Eukaryota; Viridiplantae; Streptophyta; Magnoliopsida; Brassicales; Brassicaceae.